CAAUAUCUACGAAGCAGAUGCAGAGGACGCUCUGUCCCCAAGAAAAAGUAUUUUAAAAUUACUCAAGGCGCGCGGAAUCACAUUUUCAGUUUUGGAGCAGAAGACGAUCUUGAGUUGGUGAAGUAGAAGGCAGCUGACUUCGAUGAAAUUAUUUUUCAAUUGAAAGAGAAAUUCGCAAAAGAAUUACUAAUGAGUUUGGUGCAAACAAGUACAUCGUGUCACAGGCUCACGGGUUAUCGAAAGAUAAGUGAAUAUUAGCUACUCCUCAAAACGAAAAACCAGGAUAUGGAUUGGAUCCCGAGGUAAGAAACGAUGGACUACAGUUCUUUGAAAGCGAUCAUAUUAGCAGAGCUAUGUGAGGAUAGAAAAAUUACGUACAUGUUUAAAAGAUGAAAUUCAUGUUCAAAGACGACUACUAGUUUGUACAUUAAAGAAAGCUGAUAUGAGGUUUAAGGAAGUAAGAACACGAUAGGAUUUAGUUCAUUUACCCUGAUACGACUGUAGUAUUGUGGUAUUUCAUGCAAUCAAGUAGGCUAGAGAAGAGUGUCAAAUUAGGAUGAGGAAAUAAACAUUAUUCUGAUUCUGUA
This is a long non-coding RNA of Aedes aegypti (yellow fever mosquito), 587 nucleotides long. RefSeq lists it as uncharacterized. The record is from RefSeq and is a predicted model, not a curated record. Lineage: Eukaryota; Metazoa; Arthropoda; Insecta; Diptera; Culicidae. The transcript is spliced from 2 exons.